This 745-nucleotide ribosomal RNA is filed under the name uncultured bacterium. Its description in RNAcentral is "bacterial SSU rRNA". It matches the Rfam family "Bacterial small subunit ribosomal RNA", at positions 8 to 796 of the family's 1533-position model. The record is from RNAcentral.
AGAGUUUGAUCCUGGCUCAGAACGAACGCUGGCGGCAUGCCUAACACAUGCAAGUCGAACGCCUGUAGCAAUACAGGAGUGGCGCACGGGUGAGUAACGCGUGGGAACCUGCCCCGGAGUGGGGGAUAACCCGGCGAAAGCCGGGCUAAUACCGCAUACGGCCUAUGGGCGAAAGAUUUAUCGCUCUGGGAGGGGCCCGCGUCGGAUUAGCUAGUUGGUGAGGUAACGGCUCACCAAGGCGAUGAUCCGUAGCUGGUCUGAGAGGAUGAUCAGCCACACUGGGACUGAGACACGGCCCAGACUCCUACGGGAGGCAGCAGUGGGGAAUAUUGGACAAUGGGGGCAACCCUGAUCCAGCAAUGCCGCGUGAGUGAUGAAGGCCUUAGGGUUGUAAAGCUCUUUCGGCGGGGACGAUGAUGACGGUACCCGCAGAAGAAGCCCCGGCUAACUUCGUGCCAGCAGCCGCGGUAAUACGAAGGGGGCGAGCGUUGUUCGGAAUUACUGGGCGUAAAGGGCGCGCAGGCGGCCCUAUGAAGUCAGAUGUGAAAGCCCCGGGCUCAACCUGGGAAUAGCAUUUGAUACUCAUGGGCUGGAGUGCGGGAGAGGAGAGUGGAAUUCCCAGUGUAGAGGUGAAAUUCGUAGAUAUUGGGAAGAACACCGGUGGCGAAGGCGGCUCUCUGGACCGUAACUGACGCUGAGGCGCGAAAGCGUGGGGAGCAAACAGGAUUAGAUACCCUAGUAGUCC